Molecule: ribosomal RNA, 748 nt
Filed under: uncultured Lachnospiraceae bacterium
Lineage: Bacteria; Bacillati; Bacillota; Clostridia; Lachnospirales; Lachnospiraceae
Description: bacterial SSU rRNA
Rfam family: Bacterial small subunit ribosomal RNA
Source: RNAcentral
GACGAACGCUGGCGGCGUGCUUAACACAUGCAAGUCGAACGAAGCUGCUAAAAGGAAGUCUUCGGACAGAAUUUUAGUAGACUUAGUGGCGGACGGGUGAGUAACGCGUGGAUAACCUGCCUUAUACAGGGGGAUAACGGAGAGAAAUUUCCGCUAAGACCGCAUAAGACCACAGCACCGCAUGGUGCAGGGGUAAAAUAUUUAUAGGUAUAAGGUGGAUCCGCGUCCGAUUAGCUAGUUGGUGAGGUAGAGGCUCACCAAGGCGACGAUCGGUAGCCGGCCUGAGAGGGUGAACGGCCACAUUGGGACUGAGACACGGCCCAAACUCCUACGGGAGGCAGCAGUGGGGAAUAUUGGACAAUGGGGGAAACCCUGAUCCAGCGACGCCGCGUGAGUGAAGAAGUAUUUCGGUAUGUAAAGCUCUAUCAGCAGGGAAGAAAAUGACGGUACCUGACUAAGAAGCCCCGGCUAACUACGUGCCAGCAGCCGCGGUAAUACGUAGGGGGCAAGCGUUAUCCGGAUUUACUGGGUGUAAAGGGAGCGCAGACGGCGAAGCAAGUCUGAAGUGAAAUGCAUGGGCUCAACCCAUGAAUUGCUUUGGAAACUGUUCGGCUUGAGUGUCGGAGGGGUAAGCGGAAUUCCUAGUGUAGCGGUGAAAUGCGUAGAUAUUAGGAGGAACACCGGAGGCGAAGGCGGCUUACUGGACGACAACUGACGUUGAGGCUCGAAGGCGUGGGGAGCAAACAGG